This 465-nucleotide ribosomal RNA is filed under the name uncultured Klebsiella sp. Its description in RNAcentral is "bacterial SSU rRNA". It matches the Rfam family "Bacterial small subunit ribosomal RNA", at positions 338 to 795 of the family's 1533-position model. The record is from RNAcentral. Lineage: Bacteria; Pseudomonadati; Pseudomonadota; Gammaproteobacteria; Enterobacterales; Enterobacteriaceae.
CCUACGGGAGGCAGCAGUGGGGAAUAUUGCACAAUGGGCGCAAGCCUGAUGCAGCCAUGCCGCGUGUGUGAAGAAGGCCUUCGGGUUGUAAAGCACUUUCAGCGGGGAGGAAGGCGUUAAGGUUAAUAACCUUGGAGAUUGACGUUACCCGCAGAAGAAGCACCGGCUAACUCCGUGCCAGCAGCCGCGGUAAUACGGAGGGUGCAAGCGUUAAUCGGAAUUACUGGGCGUAAAGCGCACGCAGGCGGUCUGUCAAGUCGGAUGUGAAAUCCCCGGGCUCAACCUGGGAAGUGCAUUCGAAACUGGCAGGCUAGAGUCUUGUAGAGGGGGGUAGAAUUCCAGGUGUAGCGGUGAAAUGCGUAGAGAUCUGGAGGAAUACCGGUGGCGAAGGCGGCCCCCUGGACAAAGACUGACGCUCAGGUGCGAAAGCGUGGGGAGCAAACAGGAUUAGAUACCCGGGUAGUC